RNAcentral lists this long non-coding RNA (746 nucleotides) under Equus caballus (horse). RNAcentral's name for it is "lncRNA (ENSECAG00000051978.1)". The record is from RNAcentral. Lineage: Eukaryota; Metazoa; Chordata; Mammalia; Perissodactyla; Equidae.
CUUCACACUUCGGAAGCCACCUAAAUCUCCAGCCCUCUCUGCCUCCUCUCUCCUCUAUGUAAUCUACUUUUCACAUCUCUGAACUUAUUUAUGUUGUUCUUUCCGCCUGGAAUUCUCUGUGUCACCUUUCUAAGCCUGGAAAAGUUCUGUUAAUCCACUUCCCCAGGAUUUCUAGCUUCUGAGGAAGGAGGUCCUUCAGUCCUGAAAUGACAUCUGGGGAGCAUGUCACAGCAUCCACUAGAGUCCACUGCUUGUGCUGCUUGGAUCCACUUCUUCAUGGAGAAGUUCCUCUACCAAAAUUAUCUUGAAUGAUUCAACCGCUUCAAAUCCUUCAACAGUUCCCAAUCACUUACAGAUGGAAGUCCAAACCCCCCUGGCGUGAUUUUCAAGGUCUCCUCUUUUUAAAAAACGGAAUCUUUGGCAGAUCAAAGGUGGAACUAGAACCUAAGUCAACUGACUCCUGUUCUAAUAAUCCCUGAACAAAUAGCUAUAGUAAAUGUAGUAAGUUCUACAAGAAAGAUUAAGAUAGAGCACAGGGGUGGAUGGGGAGGCCCAUUUGUCAUAUGAUGCUUGCAUCUCCUCAGCCAUUCAUUUCCAGGGAUUGGAAUGCCUCCUAAAAGAUUAACCAUAGUCAUCUCGGGGUGGCAGAGUUGCAGGUGGUUUUUCAGAAUUUUGUUAUCAUUUUGAGUAUUUUUCAACAGCAAACAUUUUUCAUCUGCGUAAUAAAAGCAAAAUGAUAAUGACAG